GUGCUGAUGAAGAGUCCCAAUCUAGGACGAAACAGCUGUCCAGUAC
Trichobilharzia regenti is the source of this 46-nucleotide non-coding RNA. The record is from Rfam. Lineage: Eukaryota; Metazoa; Platyhelminthes; Trematoda; Strigeidida; Schistosomatidae.